Molecule: ribosomal RNA, 503 nt
Filed under: uncultured bacterium
Lineage: Bacteria
Description: partial 16S ribosomal RNA
Rfam family: Bacterial small subunit ribosomal RNA
Source: RNAcentral
GAUGAACGCUAGCGACAGGCCUAACACAUGCAAGUCGAGGGGCAGCACAUGAGUAGCAAUACGAUGGUGGCGACCGGCGCACGGGUGAGUAACACGUAUGCAACCUACCGGUAAAAGGGGGAUAGCCUCUCGAAAGAGAGAUUAAUACCGCAUAAUAUCUCUGGAUGGCAUCAUUUAGAGAUUAAACAUUUAUGGUUUACCGAUGGGCAUGCGUAUGAUUAGCUAGUAGGUGAGGUAACGGCUCACCUAGGCAACGAUCAUUAGGGGUUCUGAGAGGAAGGUCCCCCACACUGGUACUGAGACACGGACCAGACUCCUACGGGAGGCAGCAGUGAGGAAUAUUGGUCAAUGGGCGAGAGCCUGAACCAGCCAAGUCGCGCGAAGGAUGAAGGUUCUAUGGAUUGUAAACUUCUUUUGUAAGGGAAUAAAAAGAGCUACGUGUAGUUUAUUGUAUGUACUUUACGAAUAAGGAUCGGCUAACUCCGUGCCAGCAGCCGCAGUAA